GGGUUGUGAGGUUAAGCGACUAAGCGUACACGGUGGAUGCCUAGGCAGUCAGAGGCGAUGAAGGGCGUGCUAAUCUGCGAAAAGCGUCGGUAAGCUGAUAUGAAGCGUUAUAACCGACGAUACCCGAAUGGGGAAACCCAGUGCAAUACGUUGCACUAUCGUUAGAUGAAUACAUAGUCUAACGAGGCGAACCGGGGGAACUGAAACAUCUAAGUACCCCGAGGAAAAGAAAUCAACCGAGAUUCCCCCAGUAGCGGCGAGCGAACGGGGAGGAGCCCAGAGUCUGAAUCAGUUUGUGUGUUAGUGGAAGCGUCUGGAAAGUCGCACGGUACAGGGUGAUAGUCCCGUACACCAAAAUGCACAGGCUGUGAACUCGAUGAGUAGGGCGGGACACGUGACAUCCUGUCUGAAUAUGGGGGGACCAUCCUCCAAGGCUAAAUACUCCUGACUGACCGAUAGUGAACCAGUACCGUGAGGGAAAGGCGAAAAGAACCCCGGCGAGGGGAGUGAAAUAGAACCUGAAACCGUGUACGUACAAGCAGUGGGAGCACCUUCGUGGUGUGACUGCGUACCUUUUGUAUAAUGGGUCAGCGACUUAUAUUUUGUAGCAAGGUUAACCGAAUAGGGGAGCCGUAGGGAAACCGAGUCUUAACUGGGCGUCUAGUUGCAAGGUAUAGACCCGAAACCCGGUGAUCUAGCCAUGGGCAGGUUGAAGGUUGGGUAACACUAACUGGAGGACCGAACCGACUAAUGUUGAAAAAUUAGCGGAUGACUUGUGGCUGGGGGUGAAAGGCCAAUCAAACCGGGAGAUAGCUGGUUCUCCCCGAAAGCUAUUUAGGUAGCGCCUCGUGAACUCAUCUUCGGGGGUAGAGCACUGUUUCGGCUAGGGGGCCAUCCCGGCUUACCAAACCGAUGCAAACUCCGAAUACCGAAGAAUGUUAUCACGGGAGACACACGGCGGGUGCUAACGUCCGUCGUGAAGAGGGAAACAACCCAGACCGCCAGCUAAGGUCCCAAAGUCAUGGUUAAGUGGGAAACGAUGUGGGAAGGCACAGACAGCCAGGAUGUUGGCUUAGAAGCAGCCAUCAUUUAAAGAAAGCGUAAUAGCUCACUGGUCGAGUCGGCCUGCGCGGAAGAUAUAACGGGGCUAAACCAUGCACCGAAGCUGCGGCAGCGACACUUAGGUGUUGUUGGGUAGGGGAGCGUUCUGUAAGCCGUUGAAGGUGACCUGUGAGGGUUGCUGGAGGUAUCAGAAGUGCGAAUGCUGACAUAAGUAACGAUAAUGCGGGUGAAAAACCCGCACGCCGGAAGACCAAGGGUUCCUGUCCAACGUUAAUCGGGGCAGGGUGAGUCGACCCCUAAGGCGAGGCUGAAAAGCGUAGUCGAUGGGAAACAGGUUAAUAUUCCUGUACUUGGUGUUACUGCGAAGGGGGGACGGAGAAGGCUAGGCUGGCCGGGCGACGGUUGUCCCGGUUUAAGCGUGUAGGGGGAGUGACCAGGUAAAUCCGGUUGCUUAUCAACCCUGAGGCGUGAUGACGAUGCACCACGGUGCAGAAGCAGUUGAUGCCAUGCUUCCAGGAAAAGCCUCUAAGCAUCAGGUAACAUUAAAUCGUACCCCAAACCGACACAGGUGGUCAGGUAGAGAAUACUCAGGCGCUUGAGAGAACUCGGGUGAAGGAACUAGGCAAAAUGGUGCCGUAACUUCGGGAGAAGGCACGCUGGCGUUAGGUGAAAGGACUAGCUCCUGGAGCUGAAGCCAGUCGCAGAUACCAGCUGGCUGCAACUGUUUAAUAAAAACACAGCACUGUGCAAACACGAAAGUGGACGUAUACGGUGUGACGCCUGCCCGGUGCUGGAAGGUUAAUUGAUGGGGUCAGCCGCAAGGCGAAGCUCUUGAUCGAAGCCCCAGUAAACGGCGGCCGUAACUAUAACGGUCCUAAGGUAGCGAAAUUCCUUGUCGGGUAAGUUCCGACCUGCACGAAUGGCGUAAUGAUGGCCAGGCUGUCUCCACCCGAGACUCAGUGAAAUUGAACUCGCUGUGAAGAUGCAGUGUACCCGCGGCAAGACGGAAAGACCCCGUGAACCUUUACUAUAGCUUGACACUGAACAUUGAGCCUUGAUGUGUAGGAUAGGUGGGAGGCCUUGAAGUGUGGACGCCAGUCUGCAUGGAGCCAACCUUGAAAUACCACCCUUUAAUGUUUGAUGUUCUAACUCGGCCCCAUGAUCUGGGGUGAGGACAGUGUCUGGUGGGUAGUUUGACUGGGGCGGUCUCCUCCCAAAGAGUAACGGAGGAGCACGAAGGUUAGCUAAUCACGGUCGGACAUCGUGAGGUUAGUGCAAAGGCAUAAGCUAGCUUGACUGCGAGAGUGACGGCUCGAGCAGGUACGAAAGUAGGUCUUAGUGAUCCGGUGGUUCUGAAUGGAAGGGCCAUCGCUCAACGGAUAAAAGGUACUCCGGGGAUAACAGGCUGAUACCGCCCAAGAGUUCAUAUCGACGGCGGUGUUUGGCACCUCGAUGUCGGCUCAUCACAUCCUGGGGCUGAAGUAGGUCCCAAGGGUAUGGCUGUUCGCCAUUUAAAGUGGUACGCGAGCUGGGUUUAGAACGUCGUGAGACAGUUCGGUCCCUAUCUGCCGUGGGCGUUGGAAGAUUGAGAGGGGCUGCUCCUAGUACGAGAGGACCGGAGUGGACGAAUCACUGGUGUUCGGGUUGUCAUGCCAAUGGCAUUGCCCGGUAGCUAAAUUCGGAAGAGAUAACCGCUGAAAGCAUCUAAGCGGGAAACUUGCCUCGAGAUGAGUCUUCCCUGGGGCUUAAAGCCCCCUGAAGGAACGUUAAAGACUAUGACGUUGAUAGGCUGGGUGUGUAAGUGCAGCGAUGUAUUGAGCUAACCAGUACUAAUGAUCCGUGAGGCUUAACCUUACAACACCGAAGGUGUUU
RNAcentral lists this ribosomal RNA (2934 nucleotides) under Yersinia pestis subsp. microtus bv. Caucasica. RNAcentral describes it as "bacterial LSU rRNA". It matches the Rfam family "Bacterial large subunit ribosomal RNA". Lineage: Bacteria; Pseudomonadati; Pseudomonadota; Gammaproteobacteria; Enterobacterales; Yersiniaceae. The record is from RNAcentral.